GGAUGGCAGAACAUAUGAAUCGCUAGUCCUGGGAAUCUGUGACGCACACCGAACUUCAGGAAAACGAUCUGGUGUCCUCUUUAGAACCGUAAACGCCUGAUGGUUAUUCAUCAUGCUACGCACUGAGGUGAGCAUGUUUGCCUUUGACGUUAUUCGAAGCACUGCGGGAAGAAAGAAUGUUAGGCGACGUGCUGAAAUGAAGACUUUUUCAGUCUAGGUGCCCAUGGCUUCCACCCUUACAGAUGGAAGAUGAUCUGAAUGGAAGGUGUCAGGAAUUUUGAUGGCCUUGUGAGACCUGGACAGCACUAACUACCUGCCUCCAGGCACAGAAGUUGAGGUGUAGGGUGGUAGCUAAAGGAAUGCAAAGCUCAUCAGGGCUGAGAACGUGUUUCAACAGCAGCCCACAAGCUGCUGAUCACAGCUUUAGCUCCAGAGGCAGUGACUGAACUCAACUAUAGCAUCAGACUCCUCUGCGAUCCUCCCCAUCUCCUCCCUCUCCUCCUCCGUGAGAGGUUACCAAUGGUGCAGAGUGCUCGUAAUGAGAACAUGCUGGAGAUGCUUUGAUGAGGUGGCCUUACUGCUGGAUGCAUGCAUGUGUGUGCCAGUGGGUGUUCCUGAAGCCGUAGGUGUGUGUGUGUGUCUGUUCCUCUUCCUCUCUGGUGACCCGCUGUUCCCAAGAAAGCUGACCUGACUGAAAAAACAAAAGCUGCACUCUUAUUGACCCAAUUCACACUGGUGCAUAAAUCUGAUUGAGCGACAGGUUCUUUUACCUAGCACUUGUUGUAAAGAAUGUACAGUCUGUGUUCAACUUGAAAGAAACCGGAAAUAUCACUCUUAAAAGGGUCUUUGUUUAAUCUCAUAUAUGUCUAGAAGCAUAUUUACCCAAAGUGGUCACGAAAGAGCAUUCGCAAUCCGUAAGAAUCCGAAGAAUUAUCAUAUCUUGCGCUCAUUGGACGCAUCUUAUCUGGAUUCAGAUUUUAUGAGUCUGACUGACAGCAUACCAGACGGUGACAGACAUAUUUGAGAAGUGAUUAACUUUUAUGUGUGAGAAGCACUCUGCUCACAAUGGACUUCACCUUAUCCUUUGCAUUGCACAAGCACCAUGUAACCCCAAGUUAAAACUGCACUAUAGGUCAUGCUUCUCUCAAGAGCGCCGGUGAAAAGUUCAUCUGGGAGACAAAUUAGGGCUGGAAGCAUAAGAGGAACUCGGUACACAUUUGAAAUUGUUCCCAUUCAGAGACAGGAUCAGAUUUGUUUCUUUUUUGUUGACCCUCUUUUUUAAUGGCAGUUCAAACUUUCCUCAGUACAAACACAGGUAGAUUAAAGGUGAUGUCAUGUUUUAUCAUGUUAAAAUACAAUACGUUAUCCAAGUUUAACAUGCAGAGACAACUGUAGGUAAGGUUUGUUGGUUAUCAAAACAUUGCUCUAUUUCAACCGAAAGACAAAGAGACAUUGACUCAACCAGUGGAGUUGACUAUCCACUUAGUUGACACGGAAAUUAUUGGGAAACCUGUCUGAAAUGGUUGUCGUUAUUUUUUCAAAUGGGUUUGGUGAUGCCAGUUUACUUUUGCAAUGUCAGCAAAACAAAAUUUUGUUUGGUGCCGCAACGACGCAGAUUUUGCACACUUAACA
Long non-coding RNA from Labeo rohita (rohu), 1632 nucleotides. RefSeq lists it as uncharacterized. The record is from RefSeq and is a predicted model, not a curated record. The transcript is spliced from 4 exons. Lineage: Eukaryota; Metazoa; Chordata; Actinopteri; Cypriniformes; Cyprinidae.